UUGCAAGUAUCCGGAUUUAAA
Molecule: microRNA, 21 nt
Filed under: Cynara cardunculus (cardoon)
Lineage: Eukaryota; Viridiplantae; Streptophyta; Magnoliopsida; Asterales; Asteraceae
Description: cca-miR6106-5p
Source: miRBase by way of RNAcentral